UUUAGGACGGCAAAGGUUUGAAACAUGAAGCUUUGUACUUCUUCACCAAUAGGUUGCAGAGAGCUAGCAAGGCAAAGAUGAUUACCCGGGAGGUAUUACUGUGCCUAGUGGCUUUACUGGUUGUUUGGGUGAGUCAUUGUGUUUAUAGGUGGAAGAAUCCAAAGUGUCAUGGCAAAUUACCUCCUGGUUCAAUGGGUUUUCCCUUUAUUGGGGAAACCAUCCAAUUCUUCAUCCCUAAUAAUUCACUCUAUGAUAUUCCUCCUUUUAUCAGAAGUAGAAUGGCUAGGUAUGGAUCGUUGUUUCGGACAAGUUUGGUUGGGAGGAAAGUGGUAGUCUCAGUGGAUCCCGAAAUCAAUUACCAGAUCUUCCAACAAGAAGGAAAGUCAAUUAUAAAUCCUUUCAAUUUUGCUAUAACGACAUUUAAACUCCAUAUUUUUAGGAAAUUAUUAUUAACUUUCUUUUAAUUUUCUAUAUUUAUCAAAAAAAUUAUUUGUCAGUUCUUUUAUUUAUUGUAGGCCAAAAAAAAAAUGAUGAUUGAAUAAUAUUUUUAAAAUAUAAUUAUAACAUUUAAUUGUUAAAAAUUAACUAGUAAAAAACAAUAAAUAAGUUUAAGCAAUGAUUUGUAAAAAACGUGAGGUUUACUUGUAAUUAGAACAGUCGAAAUUUUCCCUUUUUUAUAAAUUCAUUUAAUAGUAAUACUUAUAUAAUUAUAUACAGUUUAGAUAUGAAAAUUAAAGACUGCUAUGAGAACUUAUGAAGAUGAAUUUCAAUCAAACUUAUGGAAAUGUAGAUAUAUAGAAGAAAAAAAAUUAUACGUUUAAUCAACCACUAAUAAAAAUUAUUAGUGGAUCACAAAGAAAUUUUAUGGGUUGUUUUUUUUUUCAUUUAAAUUAUAUAUUAAGAAAUUAAAACAUAUUUAAAUGAUAUGUUAUUAUUUCGGCGACGUGGAUGCAGUCACAGUCUGUUAUCUUUCUUCAUUAGUAAUUGUUCAUGGAGUUGUUACCUUCUUCAUUAGUACUUGUUCAUGGAGUUGUCACCUUAUCGAAAACCGUUUAUGUGUGCAAAUUAUAAAAUCUACAAGGGCAAAAAUGUCAAAAAUUGUAGAAAACCAAUCAGGAAUUUGACACAAAAUGAGGGAAUUUGUAUGUUUUCAUGGUAGGCAGCAGAUUCAAACAAUUAAUUAAUUAUAUUUAUUACUUGUUUUAGUUUUUUUUCUUGUUUAUAUAUUGUAUGUUUCACCAUGAAAAGAAAAAAUAUAUAUAUUAGAAGAAUAAAACAAAAAGAAAAAAAAAAAAAGUGAAAAGAC
Ziziphus jujuba (common jujube) is the source of this 1306-nucleotide long non-coding RNA. RefSeq lists it as uncharacterized. Lineage: Eukaryota; Viridiplantae; Streptophyta; Magnoliopsida; Rosales; Rhamnaceae. The record is from RefSeq and is a predicted model, not a curated record. The transcript has 3 exons.